RNAcentral lists this ribosomal RNA (441 nucleotides) under uncultured bacterium. RNAcentral's name for it is "partial 16S ribosomal RNA". It matches the Rfam family "Bacterial small subunit ribosomal RNA", at positions 339 to 795 of the family's 1533-position model. The record is from RNAcentral.
CUACGGGAUGCACCAGUGGGGAAUAUUGGGCAAUGGGCGCAAGCCUGACCCAGCAACGCCGCGUGAGGGAAGAAGGUUUUCGGAUUGUAAACCUCUGUCCUUGGGGACGAAGAAGUGACGGUACCCAAGGAGGAAGCUCCGGCUAACUACGUGCCAGCAGCCGCGGUAAUACGUAGGGGGCAAGCGUUGUCCGGAAUUACUGGGCGUAAAGGGUGCGUAGGCGGCAUAUUAAGUCAGGUGUGAAAUACUCGGGCUCAACCCGGGGGCUGCAUUUGAAACUGAUAUGCUUGAGUGUGAGAGAGGAAAGUGGAAUUCCUAGUGUAGCGGUGGAAUGCGUAGAUAUUAGGAGGAACACCAGUGGCGAAGGCGACUUUCUGGCUCAUAACUGACGCUGAGGCACGAAAGCGUGGGGAGCAAACAGGAUUAGAUACCCGGGUAGUC